This 402-nucleotide ribosomal RNA is filed under the name bacterium enrichment culture clone NPHTC-032. RNAcentral describes it as "bacterial SSU rRNA". It matches the Rfam family "Bacterial small subunit ribosomal RNA", at positions 11 to 410 of the family's 1533-position model. The record is from RNAcentral.
GUUUUGAUUAUGGCUCAGAUUGAACGCUGGCGGUAUGCUUAACACAUGCAAGUCGAACGGAAACGAAACUAGCUUGCUAGUUGGCGUCGAGUGGCGGACGGGUGAGUAACGCGUAGGAAUCUACCUAGUAGUGGGGGAUAGCCCGAAGAAAUUCGGAUUAAUACCGCAUAAUCUAUUCGUAGUAAAGUGGGGGACUUUCGAGCCUCACGCUAUUAGAUGAGCCUGCGUAAGAUUAGCUUGUUGGUAGGGUAAAAGCCUACCAAGGCUACGAUCUUUAGCUGGUCUGAGAGGAUGAUCAGCCACAUCGGGACUGAGACACGGCCCGAACUCCUACGGGAGGCAGCAGUGGGGAAUAUUGGACAAUGGGGGCAACCCUGAUCCAGCAAUACCGCGUGUGCGAAG